UUGGCUUGUGGGUUACACAUGGUUUACUAACUCCUUUGCCGGAGUAACUUCCAAGAUAAACAAACACUUGGCUAAUUAGUUAACAAAUAAAUAAAUAAAUCCCUGAAUAUAAUUUAUGUUGGUUUCAAAUGGUGACCACUGAAUUUGUCCCUAUGAAAAAUAACUCUAAUUUCACAGAACCAAUCUUUCAUGUAGUUGAGGAACAGGGAGUAAAGGAUAGGGAGCAGAAUCAGGCAGUUGGCCUAGAGGGUAAGGCCUGGUGUGCUACCCCACAAAGAAGUUUCCUAGGGAUCUACAUUCUUGCCCUGCCUUGUCCUAAUUAGGGCAGUAUAGGGUCAGGAAGAACUGAAGAGUUAACCAUUAAUUAUUAAAACAGCUUAGUACAAAAAAGCAGAAGGUAAGCAAGGCAUGGCAGCAUACACCUGUAAUCCCAGGUACAUGGGAGGUUGACGCAGGAGGAUUACAAGUUUGAGGCCAGCCUGGGCAACUUGGAGAGACCUUGUCUUAAAAAAAAAGAAGGGAGAUAGACAUGGAGCUCAGUGGUAAAGCAUUCCUAGGUUCAAGUCCCAGUACCACUCAAACACCAAAAGAAAAAAGAAAAAAACGUAGAAAGAGAAGUAUUCUUGUGCAGAAAAAAAAGGAAAAGCACUUAUCUGUCUGCCUUGGGAGAAGAGAAGAGAGCAAAUCUACCCCAUUAUUUAUAUUCUAGUUUUGGAAGGGCACAAAUGCAUAGCAAACUUCUUUUCCCCUUCCUCAGAUGUUCUGCUAUGCUCUUCAAACUUCUCAGUCUCAGUACUACCUUCUGGCUGCCCUCAAUGCCUCUACUACGGUCACUCACUCAGGUCUGCCUUCCUCUACCAAUCCAUCCUCAUGUCUCUUCAAAGUAGACUGUACAUAGGCAGCAGCUAUUCCACUUUGUAGAUUCAGAAAAUGAAAGAGAAAUGACACCCCAAUAACCUGCUGUAAAACUGUGGAAACACUUAGAACAAAACCCUGUGAGCUGGGUGUGGUGGUACAUGCCUAUAAUCCAGCAGCUGGGGAGACUAAAGUAGGAGGAUCACAGGUUUGAGUUCAACCUCGGCAACUUAGUGAGGACAUAAAAAACGUAGUGAGACUCCAUCUCAAAAUAAAACAUAAAAAGGGCUAGGAAGUGGCUCAAUGGUUAAGUACCCUUGGGUUCAAUCUCUGGUAACAACAACAAAAAAAAGAACAAAACCCUGUGUUCUUACCUUAUAGAACACAGGUGGACAUUACCAAAGAGAAAAACAAAUUCUUUCACUAUUAAAUCUCUCUUCACUUUAAAUCACAAGACUUUAUAAGAACCAAGCCUAGUCAGGUGAGAUUAGAGGUGAGUCAUAAAAAUUACUCAGGUCCUGAUGGCUAGUGAUCUUCAGAAAAAUUCCCUCUAUUUCUAAAAAAAACUUCAGAAUAUAUCAGCUUCAAGUAGAUAAAUUAAUAAAAGAAUAUGCUAUGUUAAAAAAUAUAAAUUAGGGCUGGGGUUGUAGCUCAGUGGUAGAGCACUUGCCUAGCAUGUGUGAGGCACUGGGUUCAAUUCUCAGUACCACAUAAAAAUAAAUAAAUAAAAUAAGGGUAUUGUGUCCAUCUACAACUAAAAAUAUUUUUGAAAAAGUAUAAAUCAGGGUUGGGGACAUAGUUCAGUGAUACACCAUGUAUUUGGCAUGUAUAAGGCCCUGUGUUUAGCAUGCAUAAGGCACCACCAGGAAAAAAAAAAAAAAGUAUGAAUCAAAAUUGGUGCCAGGUGCAGUGGUGCACAUCUGUAAUCCCAGCAGCUUGGGAGGCUGAGGCUAGAGGAUUGCAAGUUUAAAGCCUGCCUCAGCAAAAGCGAGACACACUAAGCAACACAGUGAGACCCUGUCUCUAAAGAAAAAUACAAAAUAGGGCUAGGGAUGUGGCUCAAUGGUCCAGUGCCCUGAAUUCAAUCCCUGGUACCAGCCCCCUGCCCAAAAAAUUGGUUAUAGUGACUGGUAUUUCUUUCUUUUCUUUUAAAUGUUUUAUUUCUGUGUUUUAAGAAACAGUAUGAGACUAGCAAAGAUUGAAAAAAAUAAAAAGUUUCUAAUUUUUUUUUCUUCAAAUGGAAGGAAGUAAUUGACAACUUUCAGUAAAAUGGUAUCUAUCUUAAAUCUCAGAAAUAUAUUAACAAUAAAAAUUAUCAUCAUCAUCAUCAUCUUUUUCUUUUUCUUUUUUGAAGACUAGAUCUUCCUAUAUUGCCCAGGCUGAUUUUGAACUCCUGGGCUCAAGUGAUCCUUCUACCUCAGUCUCUUAAGUAGCUGGGGACUAUAGAGAUGCAUUACUGCAGCAGGAAAAAAAUUAUUUUUAAAAGUUAGAUACAACUUUGAAAAGAUAAAUAAGAUUGAGAAAUCCUUAGCCAAAAGAAAGAAUGAAAAGACAGAAAUCAACAAGAUUAGAGAUGAAACAGGAGAUAUUACCACAGAGCCUUUUAAAAUCCAGAGCAUUUUCAGAACUUAUUUUGAAAAUUUAUAUUCCAGUAUAAGUAUGGGUGGUGGGACUGCAGACUAGUACAACCACUCUGGAAAAAAAUAUGGACAUUCCCCAAAUAACUAGGGAUGGAACCACCACAUGACCCAGCCAUCUUACUUCUUGGUAUUUUCCUAAAAAAAUCUAAAAUCACCCUACAGUGACAUAGCCAUCUCAAUGUUUACUGCAGUACAACUCAAAUAAUUAAGUUAUGGAAUCAAACCAGAUGCCUGUCAAUAGAUGAAUGGAUUAAGAAAUUGUGAUACACACACACACAUACACACACAUACACACAAUGGGAAUUCUACUCAGUCAUAAAAAAGAAUGCAAUUAUGGCAUUUGCCUAUAAAUGGAUGGAAAUAAAGAAUAUCAUGUUAAGUGAAAGAAGCCAAAUUCAGAAACUCAAAAGUUGAAUGUUUUCUCUCAUAUGUGGAAGUUGAAGAAACUGGGAGGAAAGGAUAGGAUAACAUGAAGAACCAAUCAAAUACAAAUUAAUAGAUGAGAGAAAGGAAGUCUAGUAGAGUAGAAGAAGGAGAAUGAGAGUGGGGAAGGAAGACUGGAGGGAAAAAAGAGGGAUUGUGAACUAUAAUCAAUUUCAAUGCAUGUGUGUUUGUCAGGAUGAACUGACCUACGAUGUAUAACUAUAAAGCUCUAAUUUUUAAAAAAGUUAGAUAAUAAAACUGAUUUUAAGCUAAAAUAUGGUAAGACUUAAGAGUGUACUGAGGCUGAAGUGCAGUGAUAAAGCCCUUGCCUAGUAUGCUGGGUUCUACCCCAACACUGCAAAUAUAAACAAAGAUGAUAUUUUUUGUAAAUGUCUAACUUAGCAGUAAAGCCACUACAAACCAUUUUUUUAAAAUUAGGCAGGCUAGGGCUGGGAAUGUGGCUCAAGCGGUAGCGCGCUCGCCUGGCAUGCGUGGGGAGCUGGGUUCAAUCCUUAGCACCACAUACAAAUAAAAUAAAGAUGUUGUGUCCACCGAAAACUAAAAAAUAAAUAUAAAAAAAAUAAAAAUAAAAAUUAGGCAGGCUAGAAUAAAAUUAGGCAGGCUAGAAUACUUCAAAAUACAAUGUUUUAUGACAAAAGUAGAAUUUUAAUUCCCAAAUUACAUGAUUUAUAACAAAAACAUUUUGAUUUAAAUAUAUUUUUUAAAUUUACCUUUUGUUCCUGCAAAAACUGGUCUGCUAACUUUUUAAUAUUUUCUUCAUGCUGUGCUCUUAAUUCUUUGAUCUGCUGUCCACACUGAAAACUAAAUUACAAAGGCAUUCUUUUAGAUUAUAUAAUGUUGGGUUGAAUUCUCAAAAUUGUCUAGAAGUUGACACACACAUUUAGAAAGACAAAACAUUCAGUAAGCAGAAGAGUGAAUAUAUAAUAACAAAAAAAAACAGACAAAUAACUUACAGUCAGAAUUUUUAAAAUAUUUGAACCAUUAAUAGGAAAUAUGAAAUACCAAUGAAGUUAACUGAAAAAAUAAAUUGAAAAGAUGAAAACUCCCAGGGGCUUGGGAGGCUGAGGCCCUAAGCAACUCAGUGAGACCCUGUCUCUAAAUAAAAUAUAAAAAAUGUGGCUCAGUGGUUAAGUGCCCCUGGUUUCAAUCCCCAGUACCAAAAAAGGGGAAAGAAAGAAAAAAAAAGGAAAGAAAACAAACUUGACUGCAUCAUUUUAUAUAUUGCAUUUAUAAAGAAACAAUUGUCAAAGUUAAUUUCAAUCACAGAAGAGAAAAAUACUAUAGAAAACUGUGAAACCAGUUUAUAAUAAUAGGAUGAGAAAGACUAGAAUUAUUAGAGUGGAUAAAGAAUGGCAACUAUUGUUUUGUCCAAUAGUAUCUUAAACACAACACUAAAAUUUUAAACCAGAGAAUAAGGGGAAUGGAAGAAACCAAUAAAAAAGAUAAGAGUGUAUCAUCAAGAAAAAGUGAAAGAAAGCAAAACAGUUGAAGGUGGUAACUUUCUGUGGGACUAAGAGUCAAAGAAUACAAAUACAUCAUUCAUGCAAAAAUAUAUAGUUCAUAAGUACACAGAAAAAUAUUAACUUUCAUAAUUAUAAAAUGCAAAUUAAACUUUCUAUAUGAAUAUAUGGUAGUACCUUAUUUUCCUAUAUUAGAGUAAAUAUCAGUAUUACAAAUUAGAAAAAUCUUUUUUUUUUUUUUCAGUACCAGGGAUAGAAUCCAGGGGUGUUUCACCUCUGAGUUAGUCUCAGCCCUUUUUGUGUAUUUGAGACAGGGUCUAAGUUGCCCAGCCAUGUUUUGAACAUGCAAUCCUCCUGCUUCAGCCUCCUGAGUUGCCUGAAUUUCAGAAGUGUGCCACGUGCCUGGCUAGAUAAUCACUUUAGAAAGCAAUCUCUCAUCAAUGCUGUUAGAGCAACAAAAUUGGUAAAAUAUUCUUUCCCAAGAAUUCUACAUUUGAGAAGACACACUAGUAAAAUAAGGGGGGGAAACCUUUUUUGCAUAAAAAUUUUUAAAGCUGUGAUAAUCUUAAUAUUGAAAAAAGGGGAAAUUUCUACAGUGAUCCAAAAACUGGGAAAAAUUAAACAAGUUUUGUUACACUAAUAUGCUGAAUAAUAUAUUACCCCUCAAUAUGUUAAGUCUUUUUUUCUUUUUUUGAGACAGGUUCUCACUAUGUUGCCUAGGUGGGCCUCAGCCUCCUGAGUAGCUGGGAUUAUAGGCACAUACUAUGAUUCCUAACUAAUAGGUUAAAUCUUAAAUCCUAUAACUACACAGAAAAGUACUAAAUACUAUUAGGUUAAAAUAUAUAUAUGUAAGUGCAGAUGCAUACUGAUAACCUAUAGCAGUAAGAAAUUAGAAAUGGAUAAGCUUUUAAAAUAUGGCGAGUCUUUCUAAUUUUUGCUGUAUAAAUCUAAAAUAAUAACUUUUAUCAAAAAUAUCAUAAAAGUUUUUAAUGAAUGUUUGCUAGAAAAGUCCCUAAGAGGUUCCCCAUCCUCAUCACAAAAUGUAGAAGUGUAAGCAAGGGGAUUGAAGUGCAGAGCAGGAGAAGCAGCCAGCACUCUUAGUCUCUUAGCUAUUCUUGGGCCAUCUCCCAAAGAUAGCUUCAUCUUUAAGAUGUCCCUUAAAAAGAAUCACAAAAUUUUCAUUCAGUCUUAGCUAUAUCCAAUUUGAUAAAACUCAGAGAUUUAAGGUUUUAUGUCUCACAAUGAACACUACAACAUAGACAAAUUCAACAUGUCCUAUAAGAAAUAUUUUCAUGUUUAGCAUAUCAAAAUAAAAGCCAUCAAAAGACAAAGUGAAACAAACUUAAAAGAACUAAGAAUAUAAAAAAAGAAAAAUAAUCCAGAAAAGAAGAAAUUAAUUAAGUCCAAACUUAAACAAUAUUUCAGUUUCAUAAAUAUCUGUUGCACGUAUCAUCUUACCUUUCAUACUCUAACCUCUUCACAAGGUAAGUAUUAUUCUUCCUAUAGUCCUGAAGCUGGUCUUCUUGUCGAAGAAAUUCCUGUCGAAGUUCAGCAAGUUGUUCUAUCCACACAAGAAUGAUUGAUUGGAGUCCUGGAGGAGCAAGCUGGCCCCACACUUCUCCAAAUCCACAUUUCUUUUCCUACAAAGACUGGGAACCAAAGACACGCCUUUGUAGGAGGGUAAAUGUUUACAUUCUUUACUGAUCUCUUUGUUCUCAUGAUUCAAUUUCCUUUUGUAUUUGUUGCCCCUCCAAAGAACAUAACCUCCGGGCUGGGGAUGUGGCUCAAGAGGUAGUGCGCUCGCCUGGCAUGUGUGCGGCCCGGGUUCCAUCCUCAGCACCACAUACAAACAAAGAUGUUGUGUCCGCCGAAAACAAAAAUAAAUAAAUAAAUAUUUUAAAAAAACAAAACAAAACAAAAAAAAAAAGAACAUAACCUCCAAAGAACAUAACAUGUAGUCUUGUUUCCAAAAAGUGUAUAUUACUUGUUUUUUAACAUAUUUUUAUGAUACUAUGUCAGCUUCUCAGUAAUCUCUAUUUUAAACCUGUUUCUGAAAUUGCUAGAGGGAUGCUAUUCUUGAAUGCACCAGAUUGGACAAGGGAAGAUGGGGGAAGAGAGAGGAGAGAAUAGGGAUGACAUAGAAUGAAUUGGACAUAACUUUCUAUGUUGAUAUGAAUACAUGACCAGUGUAACUCCACAUCAUGUGCAACCGCAAAAAUGGAACCUUAUACUCCAUGUAUGUAUAUCAAAAUACAUUCUACUGUCAUGCAUAAUUAAAAAGAACAAAUAAAAAAUUAUUAAAAUAGAAGUCA
Marmota monax (woodchuck) is the source of this 6711-nucleotide long non-coding RNA. RefSeq lists it as uncharacterized. Lineage: Eukaryota; Metazoa; Chordata; Mammalia; Rodentia; Sciuridae. The transcript is spliced from 2 exons. The record is from RefSeq and is a predicted model, not a curated record.